AGAAUCAACGCUGGCGGCGUGCCUAACACAUGCAAGUCGAACGAGAAAGGGUAGCAAUACCUGAGUAAAGUGGCGCACGGGUGAGUAACACGUGACUAACCUACCCUGGAGUGGGGGAUAACUGAGGGAAACCUUAGCUAAUACCGCAUAAUACCUACGGGUCAAAGGAGCAAUUCGCUUUGGGAGGGGGUCGCGGCCGAGUUAGUUAGGUUGGCGGGGUAAUGGCCCACCGAAGACGGAUGAUCGGUAUCC
Molecule: ribosomal RNA, 252 nt
Filed under: uncultured bacterium
Lineage: Bacteria
Description: partial small subunit ribosomal RNA
Rfam family: Bacterial small subunit ribosomal RNA
Source: RNAcentral